AAAUGCGAUAAGUAAUGUGAAUUGCAGAAUUCUGUGAAUCAUCGAAUCUUUGAACGCACAUUGCGCCCUCUGGCAUUCCGGGGGGCAUGCCUGUCCGAGCGUCAUUACGCACCCUCAAGCCCGGCUUGUGUGAUGGGCCCUGGCGUCUCGUUCGCGAGACGGGCCCGAAAGGCAGCGGCGGCGUCGACCCGAUGAGCCCGAGCGUAUGGGGACUUUUGUCACACGUUUGCGGUGCGGACCGGCGCCUGCUUGACUUUUCUGAUUAUCCAGGUUGACCUCGGAUCAGGUAGGGAUACCCGCUGAACUUAAGC
Molecule: unclassified non-coding RNA, 311 nt
Filed under: plant metagenome
Description: partial contains 5.8S ribosomal RNA, internal transcribed spacer 2, and large subunit ribosomal RNA
Rfam family: 5.8S ribosomal RNA (bases 1-104)
Source: RNAcentral